RNAcentral lists this transfer RNA (74 nucleotides) under Aedes aegypti (yellow fever mosquito). It matches the Rfam family "tRNA". Rfam says of the family: Transfer RNA (tRNA) molecules are approximately 80 nucleotides in length. Their secondary structure includes four short double-helical elements and three loops (D, anti-codon, and T loops). Further hydrogen bonds mediate the characteristic L-shaped molecular structure. tRNAs have two regions of fundamental functional importance: the anti-codon, which is responsible for specific mRNA codon recognition, and the 3' end, to which the tRNAs corresponding amino acid is attached (by aminoacyl-tRNA synthetases). tRNAs cope with the degeneracy of the genetic code in two manners: having more than one tRNA (with a specific anti-codon) for a particular amino acid; and 'wobble' base-pairing, i.e. permitting non-standard base-pairing at the 3rd anti-codon position. Lineage: Eukaryota; Metazoa; Arthropoda; Insecta; Diptera; Culicidae. The record is from Rfam by way of RNAcentral.
UGUUCUGUAGCUAAGUUGGUUAAAGCGCCGGUCUAGCGUACACGGAGUCGUGAGUUCGAGUCUCACUAGAACGC